Molecule: ribosomal RNA, 1487 nt
Filed under: Klebsiella pneumoniae
Lineage: Bacteria; Pseudomonadati; Pseudomonadota; Gammaproteobacteria; Enterobacterales; Enterobacteriaceae
Description: 16S ribosomal RNA
Rfam family: Bacterial small subunit ribosomal RNA
Source: RNAcentral
GUUUGAUUCUGGCUCAGAUUGAACGCUGGCGGCAGGCCUAACACAUGCAAGUCGAGCGGUAGCACAGAGAGCUUGCUCUCGGGUGACGAGCGGCGGACGGGUGAGUAAUGUCUGGGAAACUGCCUGAUGGAGGGGGAUAACUACUGGAAACGGUAGCUAAUACCGCAUAACGUCGCAAGACCAAAGUGGGGGACCUUCGGGCCUCAUGCCAUCAGAUGUGCCCAGAUGGGAUUAGCUAGUAGGUGGGGUAACGGCUCACCUAGGCGACGAUCCCUAGCUGGUCUGAGAGGAUGACCAGCCACACUGGAACUGAGACACGGUCCAGACUCCUACGGGAGGCAGCAGUGGGGAAUAUUGCACAAUGGGCGCAAGCCUGAUGCAGCCAUGCCGCGUGUGUGAAGAAGGCCUUCGGGUUGUAAAGCACUUUCAGCGGGGAGGAAGGCGAUAAGGUUAAUAACCUUGUCGAUUGACGUUACCCGCAGAAGAAGCACCGGCUAACUCCGUGCCAGCAGCCGCGGUAAUACGGAGGGUGCAAGCGUUAAUCGGAAUUACUGGGCGUAAAGCGCACGCAGGCGGUCUGUCAAGUCGGAUGUGAAAUCCCCGGGCUCAACCUGGGAACUGCAUUCGAAACUGGCAGGCUAGAGUCUUGUAGAGGGGGGUAGAAUUCCAGGUGUAGCGGUGAAAUGCGUAGAGAUCUGGAGGAAUACCGGUGGCGAAGGCGGCCCCCUGGACAAAGACUGACGCUCAGGUGCGAAAGCGUGGGGAGCAAACAGGAUUAGAUACCCUGGUAGUCCACGCCGUAAACGAUGUCGAUUUGGAGGUUGUGCCCUUGAGGCGUGGCUUCCGGAGCUAACGCGUUAAAUCGACCGCCUGGGGAGUACGGCCGCAAGGUUAAAACUCAAAUGAAUUGACGGGGGCCCGCACAAGCGGUGGAGCAUGUGGUUUAAUUCGAUGCAACGCGAAGAACCUUACCUGGUCUUGACAUCCACAGAACUUASCAGAGAUGCUUUGGUGCCUUCGGGAACUGUGAGACAGGUGCUGCAUGGCUGUCGUCAGCUCGUGUUGUGAAAUGUUGGGUUAAGUCCCGCAACGAGCGCAACCCUUAUCCUUUGUUGCCAGCGGUUAGGCCGGGAACUCAAAGGAGACUGCCAGUGAUAAACUGGAGGAAGGUGGGGAUGACGUCAAGUCAUCAUGGCCCUUACGACCAGGGCUACACACGUGCUACAAUGGCAUAUACAAAGAGAAGCGACCUCGCGAGAGCAAGCGGACCUCAUAAAGUAUGUCGUAGUCCGGAUUGGAGUCUGCAACUCGACUCCAUGAAGUCGGAAUCGCUAGUAAUCGUAGAUCAGAAUGCUACGGUGAAUACGUUCCCGGGCCUUGUACACACCGCCCGUCACACCAUGGGAGUGGGUUGCAAAAGAAGUAGGUAGCUUAACCUUCGGGAGGGCGCUUACCACUUUGUGAUUCAUGACUGGGGUGAAGUCGUA